Molecule: non-coding RNA, 159 nt
Filed under: uncultured Bullifex sp.
Lineage: Bacteria; Pseudomonadati; Spirochaetota; Spirochaetia; Spirochaetales; Spirochaetaceae
Source: RNAcentral
GUCGUGAGGCAGGGUCUGAAGGAAGCUGGAGGCAAAACCGCGAGCCUACGGACAGGAACCGCAUAUGAGGCUGACGGCGUGGAUGAGUCUGCAAAAUAAGACGAAAUCCGGAGCUGAGCGCCGGCAGUAGAUGCGGAGGCUGCAUGCGGGGAAGGUUGA